Molecule: ribosomal RNA, 253 nt
Filed under: uncultured bacterium
Lineage: Bacteria
Description: partial 16S ribosomal RNA
Rfam family: Bacterial small subunit ribosomal RNA
Source: RNAcentral
UACGGGGGAGCAAGCGUUGUUCGGAUUUACUGGGCGUAAAGGGCGGGUAGGCGGCCACCGCAAGUCAGUUGUGAAAUCUCCGGGCUUAACCCGGAAAGGUCAACUGAUACUGCGGGGCUAGAGUGCAGAAGGGGCAACUGGAAUUCUCGGUGGUAGCGGUGAAAUGCGUAGAUAUCGAGAGGAACACCUGCGGCGAAGGCGGGUGCUGGGCUGACACUGACGCUGAACUGCGAAAGCUAGGGGAGCGAACGGG